Molecule: ribosomal RNA, 253 nt
Filed under: uncultured bacterium
Lineage: Bacteria
Description: partial 16S ribosomal RNA
Rfam family: Bacterial small subunit ribosomal RNA
Source: RNAcentral
UACGGGGGGAGCAAGCGUUGUUCGGAUUUACUGGGCGUAAAGCGUGCGCAGGCGGUGAGCUGUGUCCGAUGUGAAAGCCCCGGGCUUAACCUGGGAAUGGCAUUGGAAACUGGCUCGCUGGAGUGUGGCAGAGGGGGGUGGAAUUCCGCGUGUAGCAGUGAAAUGCGUAGAGAUGCGGAGGAACACCGAUGGCGAAGGCAGCCCCCUGGGCUAACACUGACGCUCAGGCACGAAAGCGUGGGGAGCAAACAGG